Non-coding RNA from Podarcis lilfordi (Lilford's wall lizard), 69 nucleotides. The record is from the annotation of a GenBank genome assembly. Lineage: Eukaryota; Metazoa; Chordata; Lepidosauria; Squamata; Lacertidae.
GCAUAGCUCAGCCGGUCGAGCAUGAGACCCGUAAGCUCAGGGCUGUGGGUUCAAGUCCUGCGAGGGGCA